This is a non-coding RNA of Pelobates cultripes (western spadefoot toad), 287 nucleotides long. The record is from the annotation of a GenBank genome assembly. NCBI's taxonomy places the organism in Eukaryota, Metazoa, Chordata, Amphibia, Anura, Pelobatidae.
GUGAGUGAGGGGGUGAUUAGUGACAGAGUGAGUGAGUGGGUGAUUAGUGACAGAGUGAGUGAGGGGGUGACUAGUGAGGGAGCGGGUGACACAGUGACAGAGAGAUGGAUGGGGUGACCUAUGUUGUUGUCACCCCCUCCCUCAGUCACUAGUCACUACCUCCCUCUGUCACUAGUCACUCCCUCCCUCUGUCACUAGUCACUCCCUCCCUCUGCCACUAGUCACUCCCUCACUAUGUCACCAGUCAUCCCUUCACUCUGUCACUAGUCAUCUCUUCCCUCCCUCAC